AAUAUUGGACAAUGGGCGAAAGCCUGAUCCAGCCAUGCCGCGUGUGUGAAGAAGGNCUNNGGAUUNUNAAGCACUUUAAGUUGNNNNNAAGGGCAGUAAGUUAAUACCUUGCUGUUUUGACGUUACCGACAGAAUAAGCACCGGCUAACUUCGUGCCAGCAGCCGCGGUAAUACGAAGGGUGCAAGCGUUAAUCGGAAUUACUGGGCGUAAAGCGCGCGUAGGUGGUUCGUUAAGUUGGGUGUGAAAGCCCCGGGCUCAACCUGGGAACUGCAUCCAAAACUGGCGAGCUAGAGUACGGUAGAGGGUGGUGAAAUUUCCUGUGUAGCGGUGAAAUGCGUAGAUAUAGGAAGGAACACCAGUGGCGAAGGCGACCACCUGGACUGAUACUGACACUGAGGUGCGAAAGCGUGGGGAGCAAACAGGA
This 425-nucleotide ribosomal RNA is filed under the name uncultured bacterium. RNAcentral describes it as "partial 16S ribosomal RNA". It matches the Rfam family "Bacterial small subunit ribosomal RNA", at positions 360 to 777 of the family's 1533-position model. The record is from RNAcentral.